GCCUACUCCCUGUUCCCACCACUGCUUGGGUAACCCAGCACCAGAGACUAGAUAACCCCGAGUCCUAGGGUAAGACCAAACAUGACUGGUCUAAAAGAAAAUGAUUCCUAAUGAGAGUCUGCUAUACUCACAGAUGAGUGUCUUAUCCAAUCAUCAUCAGAGAGACUUCCUCUGGCAGCAGACAGGAACAGACUCAGAGACCCACAGCCAGACAUUCGGUGGAGAGAGAAUCUAAAUGGGGGUCUCCAUCAAAUCCCUCCCUCCGAGUUCAGGACAUCUUGUGGAAAAACAAUGGUCCAACUUCUGGUCAAGGCUAUUUACUCAAUAUCCAGGGCCUGAACUGGAACGUGAUCUCUCAGCCUUUUCCCAUCAUGUGACAGGCGACUUUGCCGCGCUUCACAAGGAGGCCAGCAGCUGCAGGUAAGCAGCUUUGUUGACAGAAUGUGCAGCCUGACUGUGGGCCCGGAGCCAAGUGGCCAUGCAUUGACCUUCUGAAACCAGGACCCAAGACAAAUCCUUCCUCCGUUAAGUCUGGAAAGGCCGAUUCAUACACCCAGCUCAUUACGAGUGUUACAAAUACAGGAACCUUCUGCUUCUUUUCCACCCAUGUACUUCAGCUCUUACAUGUGUACACGAUACAAAGUCAGUACUUUAAAAAUAACGGUUGAAAAAAGGAGCAUGAUUCUGGAAAAAAAAAAAAAGCACCUGGUGUGUUUGGCAAAAGAGCAAUAAUUUAAAAAAUUAUCAUUGCUAAAAUGAGUGGAAUUUUGAAAACCACAAGGAUUUACAAGUAGAAUACUGAUGUUCUAGAACACCAGGGACAGCAGCUUGGGACAGGAAAGGAAGAGGAGAGUGAACGCCAUCCUGUGGCUUUGACCUGCCCAGAUGGUUGCCAUCCCUUUGCUGGCUCAUGGACAUGGGAAUGCUCAGAACACUGUCCCUGAAGCCAUGGAAAUCACCUCAUUGCUGGAAAUGUCCACAAAGUUUUCUACGGUCUCCAAGUACCCAGUUCUUGUGCCAAUUUCACUCACAAACUGGUUUAAAUGGUACCCUUGAAAUAUUUGUUUGGUGAAUAAAAUACGUAUUACAGAGACUUCAGAGCCAUUACAAAAACCAAUAUAUUGGUUCAUGACUUCUACUAUUGACCCCGUGAGUGAAGUGAAGGUUGCAACCUGGAGAGCCUUGGUGACACUCAAGCUUCAGAGCAUGCAUCAGUCAGUUUGGUUGCUGUGACAAAUAGCCCUCAUGGCUAAGACCAGAGGGUUUAUUUCUCCUAGUUGCAGAGGCCAGCUGGGAACUCUUCAAAAGUCAAGGUGCACUUUUGGUUUCUAGCAGCGGCUUUCUUCCUAGCCUGAGGACCUCCGCCUUCUCAAAACGUGCUUAUUUGCCAUGUCCAGCUCUUCUGUGAAGCCUGGGAGGAGAGGCAGGUCCCAGCGGCAUGGUUGAUUUGUUGACUGUGGUUUGAGGUCGCCGAGAAGCUUAUUCUAGAAACAGGAGAGAGAAAAAAAACCCCCAAGAUUCAAUUGCCCACGUCAAAUAGAUGAAGAAGCUGACUACCGUCAGCAGAAGCCAGUGUGAAGCCACUAAUUGGUGAAGCCGAGUCCUGUGCUGCCAUCUAUUGAUCUCUGAUUGCUUCAUGAGCCUCCUGAGACCAUGUGCAGAGGGCAGCUUUCAUACCACACAAAGGAGCUCCUGGGUGUCGGAAGCCGGCUGCUUCUAAACGAUCCGGUAUCUGGAUGAUUUGUCCAUGAGAGAAACAGGACAUUGCAUUCCAGCCACUUCCAUUCUCACAGGGGCUCAGCUCAUUCACAAAAAUAAGUUGAUGCCCAGAUAAACACACAGGAUUUUAUUUCUUGAGACGUUUACACUGGAAAGAAACAUCUAUGUAAUGGCAGAUACAAUUUAUUUUAACUACUCAGGCAUUACAUACUUGUGAGAUUUAUUUAAAAUGUUAACCUAAAAUAACUAUUCCAAGAGAGUGAA
This is a long non-coding RNA of Peromyscus maniculatus bairdii (prairie deer mouse), 1983 nucleotides long. RefSeq lists it as uncharacterized. The record is from RefSeq and is a predicted model, not a curated record. NCBI's taxonomy places the organism in Eukaryota, Metazoa, Chordata, Mammalia, Rodentia, Cricetidae.